RNAcentral lists this ribosomal RNA (254 nucleotides) under uncultured bacterium. Its description in RNAcentral is "partial 16S ribosomal RNA". It matches the Rfam family "Bacterial small subunit ribosomal RNA", at positions 524 to 776 of the family's 1533-position model. The record is from RNAcentral.
UACGGAGGGAGCUAGCGUUGUUCGGAAUUACUGGGCGUAAAGCGCACGUAGGCGGCUUUGUAAGUUAGAGGUGAAAGCCCGGAGCUCAACUCCGGAAUUGCCUUUAAGACUGCAUCGCUUGAAUCCGGGAGAGGUGAGUGGAAUUCCGAGUGUAGAGGUGAAAUUCGUAGAUAUUCGGAAGAACACCAGUGGCGAAAGGCGGCUCACUGGACCGGUAUUGACGCUGAGGUGCGAAAGCGUGGGGAGCAAACAGG